CAGUCGCCACGGUAAUACGAGGGGGGCAAGCGUUGUUCGGAAUUAUUGGGCGUAAAGGGUGCGUAGGCGGUUUGGCAAGUUUGGUGUGAAAUCUUCGGGCUCAACUCGAAGUCUGCAUCGAAAACUGCCGGGCUUGAGUAUGGGAGAGGUGAGUGGAAUUUCCGGUGUAGCGGUGAAAUGCGUAGAUAUCGGAAGGAUCACCUGUGGCGAAAGCGGCUAACUGGUCCAUAACUGACGCUGAGGUGCGAAAGCGUGGGGAGCAAACAGGAUUAGAUACCCGAGUAGUCCCUGUCUCUUAUAA
This 301-nucleotide ribosomal RNA is filed under the name uncultured bacterium. RNAcentral describes it as "partial 16S ribosomal RNA". It matches the Rfam family "Bacterial small subunit ribosomal RNA", at positions 509 to 809 of the family's 1533-position model. The record is from RNAcentral.